RNAcentral lists this ribosomal RNA (623 nucleotides) under uncultured archaeon. Its description in RNAcentral is "bacterial SSU rRNA". It matches the Rfam family "Archaeal small subunit ribosomal RNA", at positions 146 to 774 of the family's 1478-position model. The record is from RNAcentral.
AUAAUACUCCAUAGAUUAGAGACACUGGAAUGUUCUUUAGUCGAAAGUUCUGGCGCCUUAGGAUGGAUCUGCGGUCGAUUAGGUUGUUGUUGGGGUAACGGCCCAACAAGCCUGUAAUCGAUACGGGUUGUGGGAGCAAGAGCCCGGAGAUGGAAUCUGAGACACGAUUCCAGGCCCUACGGGGCGCAGCAGGCGCGAGAACUUUACAAUGCAGGAAACUGUGAUAAGGGAACUCCGAGUGCCCGUAUACGCGGGCUGUCCAGGUGUUUAAAAAUCACCUGAAGAAAGGGCCGGGCAAGACCGGUGCCAGCCGCCGCGGUAAUACCGGCGGCUCGAGUGGUGGCCACUAUUAUUGGGCUUAAAGCGUCCGUAGCUGGACCGAUAAGUCUCUUGGGAAAUCCGCCGGCUCAACCGGCGGGCGUCUAAGGGAUACUGUUAGUCUAGGGACCGGGAGAGGUGAGAGGUACUCCGGGGGUAGGAGUGAAAUCCUGUAAUCCCCGGGGGACCACCGAUGGCGAAGGCAUCUCACCAGAACGGCUCCGACAGUGAGGGACGAAAGCUGGGGGAGCGAACCGGAUUAAAUACCCGGGUAGUCCCAGCCGUAAACUAUGCGCGUUAGGUGU